RNAcentral lists this ribosomal RNA (484 nucleotides) under uncultured bacterium. RNAcentral describes it as "partial 16S ribosomal RNA". It matches the Rfam family "Bacterial small subunit ribosomal RNA", at positions 30 to 507 of the family's 1533-position model. The record is from RNAcentral.
AUUGAACGCUGGCGGCAGGCCUAACACAUGCAAGUCGAGCGGAUGAAGGGAGCUUGCUCCUGGAUUCAGCGGCGGACGGGUGAGUAAUGCCUAGGAAUCUGCCUGGUAGUGGGGGAUAACGCCCGGAAACGGGCGCUAAUACCGCAUACGUCCUGAGGGAGAAAGUGGGGGAUCUUCGGACCUCACGCUAUCAGAUGAGCCUAGGUCGGAUUAGCUAGUUGGUGGGGUAAAGGCCUACCAAGGCGACGAUCCGUAACUGGUCUGAGAGGAUGAUCAGUCACACUGGAACUGAGACACGGUCCAGACUCCUACGGGAGGCAGCAGUGGGGAAUAUUGGACAAAGGGCGAAAGCCUGAUCCAGCCAUGCCGCGUGUGUGAAGAAGGUCUUCGGAUUGUAAAGCACUUUAAGUUGGGAGGAAGGGCAGUAAGUUAAUACCCUGCUGUUUUGACGUUACCAACAGAAUAAGCACCGGCUAACUUCGUG